GAUGAACGCUGGCGGCGUGCUUAAUACAUGCAAGUCGAGCGAACAGACGAGGAGCUUGCUCCUCUGACGUUAGCGGCGGACGGGUGAGUAACACGUGGAUAACCUACCUAUAAGAGUGGGAUAACUUAGGGAAACGGGAGGAAAUACCAGAUAAUAUAUUGAACCGCAUGGUUUAAUAGUGAAAGACGGUUUUGCUGUCACUUAUAGAUGGUUCCCCGCUGCAUUAGCUAGUUGGUAAGGUACCGGCUUACCAAGGCAACGAUGCGUAGCCGAGCUGAGAGGGUGAUCGGCCGGACUGGAACGGAGACACGGCCCAGAGGGCUACGGGAGGCGGCAGUAGGGACUCUGGCGGGAUGGGCGGGAGCCUAACGGAGCAACGCGGCAUGAGUGAUGAAGGUCUUCGGAUCGUAAAACUCUGUUAUUAGGGAAGAACAAGGGUUUAAGUAAGUAUGAACGUCUUGACGGUACCUGGUCAGAAAGCCACGGCUAACUACGUG
RNAcentral lists this ribosomal RNA (497 nucleotides) under uncultured bacterium. Its description in RNAcentral is "partial 16S ribosomal RNA". It matches the Rfam family "Bacterial small subunit ribosomal RNA", at positions 28 to 507 of the family's 1533-position model. The record is from RNAcentral.